GACGAACGCUGGCGGCGUGCCUAAUACAUGCAAGUAGAACGCACAGUUUAUACUGUAGCUUGCUACACCAUUGACUGUGAGUUGCGAAAGGGUGAGUAACGCGUAGGUAACCUGCCUGGUAGCGGGGGAUAACUAUUGGAAACGAUAGCUAAUACCGCAUAAUAUUAAUUAUUGCAUGAUAAUUAAUUGAAAGGUGCAAUUGAAUCACUACUAGAUGGACUUGCGUUGUAUUAGCUAGUAGGUGAGGUAACGGCUCACCUAGGCGACGAUACAUAGCCGACCUGAGUGGGUGGGCGGCCACCCUGGGACGGAGACACGGCCCAGACUCCUACGGGAGGCAGCAGGAGGGAAUCUUCGGCAAUGGACGAAAGUCUGACCGAGCAACGCCGCGUGAGUGAGGAAGGUUUUCGGGUCGUAAAGCUCUGUUGUAAGAGAAGAACGGGUGUGAGAGUGGAAAGUUCACUCUGUGACGGUAACUUACCAGAAAGGGACGGCUAACUACGUG
This 505-nucleotide ribosomal RNA is filed under the name uncultured bacterium. RNAcentral's name for it is "partial 16S ribosomal RNA". It matches the Rfam family "Bacterial small subunit ribosomal RNA", at positions 28 to 507 of the family's 1533-position model. The record is from RNAcentral.